Molecule: long non-coding RNA, 795 nt
Organism: Symphalangus syndactylus (siamang)
Lineage: Eukaryota; Metazoa; Chordata; Mammalia; Primates; Hylobatidae
Source: RefSeq, a predicted model, not a curated record
GUGUGCUACAGCUUCCAACUCCUGGGCUCGAACCAUCCUCCUGCGUCAGCCCCACAAGUACUGGGGAGCACAGGUGUGUGUCACUGUGUCCGGCUGUGGUGACAGAUGGAGCCCCCGACACAGCUUUGUAACUCAAGGCACUGACAUCCAACCUGAAGGGCAAGAGUAGGGCAGUGAAAGUGCUGCAGACGGAGGCCUCUUCAAGCCUGGACACCUGCGGGAGAGAAACCCCCAGGAGUCAGGAUCACCGAACACCCAAAGACGUCCUGCUCUGGAAAGAGACUGCAGCCUCAACAAACAGGAGGAGUCACAGCUGAGAAACCAGAGGUAAUCAAAGUAGUCAGAACUUCACAGUCCUGGGAACCCAGCGAGGGAGGCCAGAGUGUCUACCGUUCACAGAGAGCCUCUCCAGAGCAGCAGGUGUGCCGAGGACGGGGACUCAGGCGUGUGCCUGGUUUGCAGCACCAGCAGCAGAGAUGGAGGAAAUCAGAGACUUCUGGGAGGAGGAAGGAGACGUGAAUGUCAAUGGAUUCAGGCCCAUCUCUAUUAAUUCUCUGAUAAAAUCAGAAAGCUGAUGGCCAGGCAUGGUGGUGUGUGCCUGUGGUCCCAGCUACUCACAGGGCUGAGAUGGGAGGAUCGAUUAAGCCCAGGAGGUGGAGGCUGCGGGAAGCCGUGACUGAGCCACUGCACUGCAGCCUGGGCAACAGAGCGAGACUCUGUCUCUAAAAAACAAGCAACAACAAAACGAAACAAAACAAAACAAAAGCAAGCAAGUGGAAACCGAGGAUUACUCAA